This 497-nucleotide ribosomal RNA is filed under the name uncultured bacterium. RNAcentral describes it as "partial 16S ribosomal RNA". It matches the Rfam family "Bacterial small subunit ribosomal RNA", at positions 28 to 507 of the family's 1533-position model. The record is from RNAcentral.
GACGAACGCUGGCGGCGUGCCUAAUACAUGCAAGUAGAACGCUGAAGCUUGGUGCUUGCACCGAGCGGAUGAGUUGCGAACGGGUGCGUAACGCGUAGGUAACCUGCCUGGUAGCGGGGGAUAACUAUUGGAAACGAUAGCUAAUACCGCAUAAGAGUAGAUGUUGCAUGACAUUUGCUUAAAAGGUGCAAUUGCAUCACUACCAGAUGGACCUGCGUUGUAUUAGCUAGUUGGUGAGGUAACGGCUCACCCAGGCCACGAUCCGUAGCCGACCGGAGAGGGUGCGAGGCCACACUGGGACGGAGACACGGCCCAGACCACUACGGGAGGGAGCAGUAGGGAAUCUUUGGCAAUGGACGGAAGUCUGACUGAGCAACGCCGCGUGAGUGAAGAAGGCUUUCGGAUCGCAAAGGUCUGUUGUAAGAGAAGAACGAGUGUGAGAGUGGAAAGUGCACACUGUGACGGUAUCGUACCAGAAAGGGACGGCUAACUACGUG